UAGCUGGGGCCACAGGCACAUGCCACUACCUCCAGCUUGGCUUAUUUCACUUAGUGUAUUUUCAAGUUUUAAUCACGUUGUAGCGUGUACCAGAACGUCAUUCUUUGAUAUGGCUGAAUAAUAUUCCACUGUAUCCAUUCAUCAGCUAAUGGACACUUGGAUUGUCUCCACCUUUGGAUAUUGUGAAUAAUGCUGCUAUGAACAUUGGUGUAAACACCUUUCUAUGAACCUGUUUGAGGAUAUUGUUUUAAUUAAAAGCAAGCUGCUACCACUACAUACCUAUUAGAAUGGCCAAAAUUCAAGACACUGACAACAAAUGCUGGUGAGAAAUUGGAGCAACAGGAAUUCUUAUUCAUUGUUGGUGGGUGCAAAAUGAUGCAGCCACUUUGGAAGACAGUGUUGGCAGUCUCUUACAAAACUAAUGAUAUGGACAGGAGGCAGGAGGGCGGGAUUCCUGGUGAGGGUUCUUACCCUCAAGCUUGGACCCAUGGCCCUAAAUGAGAACAGGCAUUCCUGUUUUCACGCCUGUACGUUGCCUUUUCCAAGACCAUUGUGGCCCACCCUGCUCUCUAUCCUGUGCCCAUAAGAACCCCAAAUCCCAGGCUCCACAAACAGAAGAGCAGCAGAGGGGCAGAGGGGCAGAGCUGCAGAGCAAGGUGGUGGAGAAGGAGAAAAGAGAAGAAGCAAUUGAGCAUUGAAGAGGUAGCUGGAUGGUCAGAGAGGAAUUUGGCCAGGGACAGCAGAACUCCAGGGGACGAUUAUCUUCCCACGCCAUCCCCUUUCCAGCUCCCCAUCCUGCUGAGAGCCACCUCCCUCACUCAAUAAAACCUCUGCAUUUACCAGGUGCCCGCCACCACGCCCGGCUAAUUUUUAUUUUUGUAUUUUUAUUAGAGACAGGGUUUCGCUGUGUUAGCCAGGAUGGUCUCGAUCUCCUGACCUCGUGAUCCGCCCGCCUCGGCCUCCCAAAGUGCUGGGAUUACAGGCGUGAGCCACUGCACCCGGCCGCAACCAUACGAUUUACCCAAAUGAACUGGAAACUUAUAUCCUCACAAAACCUGAACACAGAUGUUUAGAGCAGCUUUAUUCAUAGUUGCCAAAACUUAGAAGCAACCAAUGUAUCUUCAGUAGGUGAAUGGAUUUAAAACACUGGUACAUGCAGACAGUAGAAUAUUAUGCAGCACUAAAACGAACUGAGGCUGGGCACAGUGGCUCAUCCCUAUA
Molecule: long non-coding RNA, 1221 nt
Filed under: Homo sapiens (human)
Lineage: Eukaryota; Metazoa; Chordata; Mammalia; Primates; Hominidae
Description: HSALNT0233605
Source: RNAcentral